UACGGAGGGUGCAAGCGUUAUCCGGAUUUAUUGGGUUUAAAGGGUCCGUAGGCGGAUCCGUAAGUCAGUGGUGAAAUCUCAUAGCUUAACUAUGAAACUGCCAUUGAUACUGCGGGUCUUGAGUGAGAUUGAGGUAGCUGGAAUAAGUAGUGUAGCGGUGAAAUGCAUAGAUAUUACUUAGAACACCAAUUGCGAAGGCAGGUUACCAAGUCUUAACUGACGCUGAUGGACGAAAGCGUGGGGAGCGAAC
RNAcentral lists this ribosomal RNA (250 nucleotides) under uncultured bacterium. RNAcentral describes it as "partial 16S ribosomal RNA". It matches the Rfam family "Bacterial small subunit ribosomal RNA", at positions 524 to 773 of the family's 1533-position model. The record is from RNAcentral.